GGUUGGUUAGCUCAGUUGGUUAGAGCGUCGUAUGUUCUUCCUCAUCUUUGGCAUUCAAUGAUCAUUGCUGACCCAGCCUAGGUACUAAUACAGUAUUCCAUUGUAUUAAGUAAUGCGAAGGUCAUGAGUUCGACCCUCAUACUGACCA
Molecule: non-coding RNA, 148 nt
Organism: Xylaria bambusicola
Lineage: Eukaryota; Fungi; Ascomycota; Sordariomycetes; Xylariales; Xylariaceae
Source: the annotation of a RefSeq genome assembly